GAUGAACGCUAGCGACAGGCCUAACACAUGCAAGUCGAGGGGUAACAGGGAAGCUUGCUUCCGCUGACGACCGGCGCACGGGUGCGUAACGCGUAUGCAACCUACCCUUUACAGGGGGAUAGCCCGGAGAAAUCCGGAUUAAUACCCCAUGGUACCAUAAUACCGCAUGGUAUAUUGGUUAAAGAUUCAUCGGUAAAGGAUGGGCAUGCGUAAGAUUAGUUUGUUGGUGAGGUAACGGCUCACCAAGACUGCGAUCUUUAGGGGUUCUGAGAGGAAGGUCCCCCACACUGGUACUGAGACACGGACCAG
This 309-nucleotide ribosomal RNA is filed under the name uncultured bacterium. RNAcentral describes it as "bacterial SSU rRNA". It matches the Rfam family "Bacterial small subunit ribosomal RNA", at positions 28 to 334 of the family's 1533-position model. The record is from RNAcentral.